UUUCUUGUCAUAUCCACUAGUUAUCAUAGUUCACCUCCGUUUCACGCUGCGUCACGUAAAUGGCGCAUGCGCAGACACCUAACCGCACCUCGAAGUAAUUUUUCGUGAGGGUAAACCAGAGCCCAUGGUGGUGACUUCAACCGUCACUUUUCUGUCAUGCAUCUGACUGCAAGCUGUACAAACUCUGCCGUCAUCAUAUCCAAGGCAGUAAGUUGUGAGGACUGCUUCCCUGAGAACACUGAGUGCAUUCUGGAAUAUUCCAAAUGUGUCCCACUUCCAUACAAAAGAAGUUCGAAUCCCGCAAGAGAGUUCACUCAACAGUGGGCUUCAUCAACAGACCAGGGCAAAGUCGGUCUGUCCCGCUACUACAACAUGCUACUUGACUAUGUCUGGAAGCCAUGGCUGCUGCCCUCAACAUGCUAAACUGAAACCCUCACAAAUAAAGUCACAAAUCAAGAAUUAACAUUGAUGGUGAUGGUGGCAAGGGUGCCUUCAUAAGGUGCCAUCCAGCAAGUCCCAGCCUGGAGCCAGAGGCUGGCACUGCACGUCAGAUGGGGGAGGAUCUAUGUUCAGAAAGGCAUCAGAAAGGUGGUUUAAGCAAGAAGGCAAGAACUUCUGCAGACAGUGUUGCAAUUAGACACCUGACUUUUACUGAGUCCCUUUUCUGGUUUGUUUUGGACAAACUAGAGUGGUGGGCACAGAAAUUUUGUCGAUGGGUCAAACAUUCACACACUCACUCACACAACCACACUUGUGGAUUUGUCAAGCAACAAAUCUUUGUAUAUAAUCUGUUGCUCAUUGAAUAUGCUUAAUAAAUGUUGUCUUCUUGACUUGUA
This is a long non-coding RNA of Alosa sapidissima (American shad), 836 nucleotides long. RefSeq lists it as uncharacterized. The record is from RefSeq and is a predicted model, not a curated record. NCBI's taxonomy places the organism in Eukaryota, Metazoa, Chordata, Actinopteri, Clupeiformes, Clupeidae. The transcript has 6 exons.